GAUGAACGCUGGCGGCGUGCCUAAUACAUGCCAGUCGAGCGAACGGACGAGAAGCUUGCUUCUCUGAUAUUAGCGGCGGACGGGUGAGUAACACGUGGAUAACCUACCUAUAAGACUGGGAUAACUUCGGGAAACCGGAGCUAAUACCGGAUAAUAUUUUGAACCGCAUGGUUCAAAAGUGAAAGACGGUCUUGCUGUCACUUAUAGAUGGAUCCGCGCUGCAUUAGCUAGUUGGUAAGGUAACGGCUUACCAAGGCAACGAUGCAUAGCCGACCUGAGAGGGUGAUCGGCCACACUGGAACUGAGACACGGUCCAGACUCCUACGGGAGGCAGCAGUAGGGAAUCUUCCGCGAUGGGCGAAAGCCUGACGGAGCAACGCCGCGUGAGUGAUGAAGGUCUUCGGAUCGUAAAACUCUGUUAUUAGGGAAGAACAUAUGUGUAAGUAACUGUGCACAUCUUGACGGUACCUAAUCAGAAAGCCACGGCUAACUACGUG
RNAcentral lists this ribosomal RNA (497 nucleotides) under uncultured bacterium. RNAcentral's name for it is "partial 16S ribosomal RNA". It matches the Rfam family "Bacterial small subunit ribosomal RNA", at positions 28 to 507 of the family's 1533-position model. The record is from RNAcentral.